ACGGAGGGGGCGAGCGUUGUUCGGAAUCAUUGGGCGUAAAGGGCGCGUAGGCGGUCGGGUAAGUCGGUUGUGAAAUCCCCUGGCUUAACCAGGGAAGUGCGUCCGAAACUACCUGACUGGAGGCCGGGAGAGGAGAGUGGAAUUCCCAGUGUAGCGGUGAAAUGCGUAGAUAUUGGGAGGAACACCGGUGGCGAAGGCGGCUCUCUGGACCGGUUCUGACGCUGAGGCGCGAAAGCUAGGGGAGCAAACAGGA
This 253-nucleotide ribosomal RNA is filed under the name uncultured prokaryote. RNAcentral's name for it is "partial 16S ribosomal RNA". It matches the Rfam family "Bacterial small subunit ribosomal RNA", at positions 525 to 777 of the family's 1533-position model. The record is from RNAcentral.